GUGGCUCACUGGUAGAGUGCUUGCCUUGCAUGCAUGAAGCCCUGGGUUCAAUUCCUCAGC
RNAcentral lists this transfer RNA (60 nucleotides) under Dipodomys ordii (Ord's kangaroo rat). It matches the Rfam family "tRNA", at positions 7 to 64 of the family's 71-position model. From Rfam's summary of the family: Transfer RNA (tRNA) molecules are approximately 80 nucleotides in length. Their secondary structure includes four short double-helical elements and three loops (D, anti-codon, and T loops). Further hydrogen bonds mediate the characteristic L-shaped molecular structure. tRNAs have two regions of fundamental functional importance: the anti-codon, which is responsible for specific mRNA codon recognition, and the 3' end, to which the tRNAs corresponding amino acid is attached (by aminoacyl-tRNA synthetases). tRNAs cope with the degeneracy of the genetic code in two manners: having more than one tRNA (with a specific anti-codon) for a particular amino acid; and 'wobble' base-pairing, i.e. permitting non-standard base-pairing at the 3rd anti-codon position. Lineage: Eukaryota; Metazoa; Chordata; Mammalia; Rodentia; Heteromyidae. The record is from Rfam by way of RNAcentral.